UACAGAGGUCUCAAGCGUUGUUCGGAUUCAUUGGGCGUAAAGGGUGCGUAGGCGGCAUAGUAAGUCGGAUGUGAAAUCUUGGAGCUUAACUCCAAAACUGCAUUCGAUACUGCUGUGCUUGAAGACUGAAGAGGAGAUUGGAAUUCACGGUGUAGCAGUGAAAUGCGUAGAUAUCGUGAGGAAGACCAGUGGCGAAGGCGAAUCUCUGGGCAGAUCUUGACGCUGAUGCACGAAGGCCAGGGGAGCAAACGGG
RNAcentral lists this ribosomal RNA (253 nucleotides) under uncultured bacterium. RNAcentral's name for it is "partial 16S ribosomal RNA". It matches the Rfam family "Bacterial small subunit ribosomal RNA", at positions 524 to 776 of the family's 1533-position model. The record is from RNAcentral.